UGAAAUACCACCCUGGUUCAUUUGAGGUUCUAACCUUGGUCCGUUAUCCGGAUCGGGGACAGUGCAUGGUAGGCAGUUUGACUGGGGCGGUCUCCUCCUAAAGUGUAACGGAGGAGUUCGAAGGUACGCUAGGUACGGUCGGACAUCGUGCUAAUAGUGCAAUGGCAUAAGCGUGCUUAACUGCGAGACCGACAAGUCGAGCAGGUACGAAAGUAGGACAUAGUGAUCCGGUGGUUCUGUAUGGAAGGGCCAUCGCUCAACGGAUAAAAGGUACUCUGGGGAUAACAGGCUGAUUCCUCCCAAGAGUUCAUAUCGACGGGGGAGUUUGGCACCUCGAUGUCGGCUCAUCACAUCCUGGGGCUGUAGCCGGUCCCAAGGGUAUGGCUGUUCGCCAUUUAAAGUGGUACGUGAGCUGGGUUUAAAACGUCGUGAGACAGUUUGGUCCCUAUCUGCCGUGGGCGUUGGAAAUUUGAAGGGGGCUGCUCCUAGUACGAGAGGACCGGAGUGGACGAACCUCUGGUGUACCGGUUGUCACGCCAGUGGCAUUGCCGGGUAGCUAAGUUCGGAAGAGAUAACCGCUGAAAGCAUCUAAGCGGGAAACUUGCCUUGAGAUGAGAUUUCCCGGAGCCUUGAGCUCCUUGAAGGGUCGUUCGAGACCAGGACGUUGAUAGGCUGGGUGUGGAAGUGCAGUAAUGCAUUAAGCUAACCAGUACUAAUUGCCCGUACGGCUUGUCCCU
RNAcentral lists this non-coding RNA (737 nucleotides) under Massilia timonae CCUG 45783. RNAcentral describes it as "Bacterial large subunit ribosomal RNA". It matches the Rfam family "Bacterial large subunit ribosomal RNA", at positions 2193 to 2925 of the family's 2925-position model. Lineage: Bacteria; Pseudomonadati; Pseudomonadota; Betaproteobacteria; Burkholderiales; Oxalobacteraceae. The record is from Rfam by way of RNAcentral.